This is a non-coding RNA of Fomitopsis betulina (razor strop fungus), 104 nucleotides long. The record is from the annotation of a GenBank genome assembly. Lineage: Eukaryota; Fungi; Basidiomycota; Agaricomycetes; Polyporales; Fomitopsidaceae.
GGCUCAAUGGUCUAGUAGUAUGAUUCGUGCUUCGGGUUAUCCCCACGUGAUUAUAUUACGUAACAAAUUGCACGAGGUCCCGAGUUCAAUUCUCGGUUGAGCCC